AGCUCCAAUAGCGUAUUUUAAAGUUGUUGCAGUUAAAAAGCUCGUAGUUGGAUUUGUGGUGUGUCCAGUUGGCCUUCGCUUCUAGUGUUAGCGCUGUACUGGUCUGCCAUGUUUGGGUGGAAUCUGUGUGGCAUUAAGUUGUCGUGCAGGGGAUGCCCAUCGUUUACUGUGAAAAAAUUAGAGUGUUCAAAGCAGGCUUAUGCCGUUGAAUAUAUUAGCAUGGAAUAAUAAUAUAGGACCUUGGUACUAUUUUGUUGGUUUGCGCACUAAGGUAAUGAUUAAGAGGGACAGUUGGGGGUAUUUGUAUUCCAUUGUCAGAGGUGAAAUUCUUGGAUUUUUGGAAGACAAACUACUGCGAAAGCAUUUACCAAGGAUGUUUUCA
Molecule: ribosomal RNA, 382 nt
Filed under: uncultured eukaryote
Lineage: Eukaryota
Description: SSU rRNA
Rfam family: Eukaryotic small subunit ribosomal RNA
Source: RNAcentral